RNAcentral lists this ribosomal RNA (261 nucleotides) under uncultured archaeon. RNAcentral's name for it is "partial 16S ribosomal RNA". It matches the Rfam family "Archaeal small subunit ribosomal RNA", at positions 748 to 1009 of the family's 1478-position model. The record is from RNAcentral.
AGGGUGUAAACGCUGCGGGCUUGGUGUUGGGGGUCCUUAGUGGGCGCCCAGUGCCGGAGAGAAGUUGUUAAGCCUGCUGCUUGGGGAGUAUGUCCGCAAGGAUGAAACUUAAAGGAAUUGGCGGGGGAGCACCACAACGGGUGGAGCCUGCGGUUUAAUUGGACUCAACGCCGGGAAGCUCACCGGAUAAGACAGCGGAAUGAUUGCCGGGCUGAAGACCCUGCAUGACCAGCUGAGAGGUGGUGCAUGGCGUAGUCGUGU